AUUGAACGCUGGCGGCAGACCUAACACACAUAAGUGGAGCGGAAUCGCAGAGUAGCUUGCUACUCUGAUGUCGAGCGGCGGACGGGUGAGUAAUGCUUGGGAACAUGCCUUGAGGUGGGGGACAACAGUUGGAAACGACUGCUAAUACCGCAUAAUGUCUACGGACCAAAGGGGGCUUCGGCUCUCGCCUUUAGAUUGGCCCAAGUGGGAUUAGCUAGUUGGUGAGGUAAUGGCUCACCAAGGCGACGAUCCCUAGCUGGUUUGAGAGGAUGAUCAGCCACACUGGGACUGAGACACGGCCCAGACUCCUACGGGAGGCAGCAGUGGGGAAUAUUGCACAAUGGGCGCAAGCCUGAUGCAGCCAUGCCGCGUGUGUGAAGAAGGCCUUCGGGUUGUAAAGCACUUUCAGUCAGGAGGAAAGGUUAGUAGUUAAUACCUGCUAGCUGUGACGUUACUGACAGAAGAAGCACCGGCUAACUCCGUGCCAGCAGCCGCGGUAAUACGGAGGGUGCGAGCGUUAAUCGGAAUUACUGGGCGUAAAGCGUACGCAGGCGGUUUGUUAAGCGAGAUGUGAAAGCCCCGGGCUCAACCUGGGAACUGCAUUUCGAACUGGCAAACUAGAGUGUGAUAGAGGGUGGUAGAAUUUCAGGUGUAGCGGUGAAAUGCGUAGAGAUCUGAAGGAAUACCCGAUGGCGAAGGCAGCCACCUGGGUCAACACUGACGCUCAGUA
Molecule: ribosomal RNA, 730 nt
Filed under: bacterium IMCC11052
Lineage: Bacteria
Description: bacterial SSU rRNA
Rfam family: Bacterial small subunit ribosomal RNA
Source: RNAcentral